AAAGCUUUCCCCUCGGGGGAACCAGCCCCCGCCCCUCUCUCUCCCGUGACCCGUCCUUCUCUCUCUUUCUGAAAGCUCUAUCCCUCUGCGAGAAAACUAAUGCCCUCUCUCUCCUGGGACACUCAUCUCUCUCUAUCUAAAAGCCCCAUCCCUUUGCAAGAAAACCAGAGUUGCGAGAAAACCAGAGCCCUCUCUCGUGACCCUCUUCUCUCUCUCUAAAAGCCCCAUCUGCGGGAAAACCCAGCCCCCUCUCUCUCUCUCUCUCUUUAUCUAUCUAAAAGCCCCAUGCCUAUGCAAGAAAACCAGAGCUGUGAGAAAACCAUAGCCCUGAUUGCUAAUCUCUUCUGGAAUGUGCCAGAAAUUUACUUUGUUUGAGAUAGGUACCUCUUGGUUAAAUAGUCUGAAAGAAGAACAAAAACACUGCCAAGCUCAUGAAACCCUAGGAGUAGAUCAAAAUGGAAGACGAAACUAAUGCAAUUCAACCCAAUCAUGGAUCUAAUUUUUUAGUAGAAGACCUCGACACUGUUUUCAGUGCAAAUCAGUUCAUAAUGGCUGAAAUUUAAGUUUGGCCAAGUUGGUUCCAUUUGGUAUUCAUCAAAAACAAAAGUUAGGGAGAAAUUGGGUGCUGCAAUACCCUUCCAAGGUCUUCCCUGCCGUUAUAUGGGCAAAAAGAAGCAUAUGCCAAUGGCGUCAUGCCAUUUCCCUGCUGCAAAAUGCCUGCCUUGGGCAGUUCAUAUCUUGGCUAGCUUCUGAUGGUACUUCUGCUAUUUACUUGCUUUUUCUCUCGAGGCUUUUGUGUAAAUAUUUUAACCCCAACCAAGGGCGUGUAAAUAUUUUCACGCCAACCAAGGGCUACUAAUCAUAUGAAACUCUUUACACAAUGCUUUUUAAAUGAAUCUCAGUUGUGAUUUUUCUAUCUCAAUCGAAAUUACAUAGAGAGAUAUUUAUAAAGAAGCUAAAUGGUUUAUCUACAUGAAUAUAUGAGAUAAAGCAGGAAGGAUAUACACAAAGAGGUUACACAAUAAAUAUGGAGAGAUUGACUUUUGGACUUCUGAAUAAGUCUAAAACUCCCCUUCAAGUUGGAGCAUGAAGGUUCUUGAUGGCCAAAGCCAACUUGGCAAGGAGAAAUCUGAAAUUCUCUCGACCGAAUGCCUUGGUAAAGUUAUCAACCACAUGUUGUGAAGAACCAACAAAAUAUGGUUGAAUAAGGCCUUGUUGAAGCUUUUUUCGUAAAAGAUGACAAUCUAAUCGAUGUGCUUAGUGUGUUCAUGAUAGACUGGAUUAGCCGCAAAAUGAAGGG
RNAcentral lists this long non-coding RNA (1300 nucleotides) under Amborella trichopoda. RNAcentral describes it as "long non-coding RNA (ATRI_LNC002421)". The record is from RNAcentral. Lineage: Eukaryota; Viridiplantae; Streptophyta; Magnoliopsida; Amborellales; Amborellaceae.